UUAAAACACAAAUUACUUGCCUGUUUAAAAGGACCGUAAAAAUAAAUAAAAAGAUUUUACUUCUGGGCUAUUCUUUAUUAAAAUAAAUAUUUAAUCCUACAUCCCCCAAAAAAUGACCGUUGAAUUGUUAAAAUGACAAUACAGCCCCAUUAUUAAAUAACAUCGAUCAAACUACAAUUUAAAUAGAAAAUGACAGACUCUCUGUUUAAAUCUGGCCCAUGACAGGUUCUCAGCAAGCAGACAGUUUGCUCCAAUGCGUGAGGCUGAGACAAUUCAGGGAAGUAAACAGUACCAUGAAAUUCUGCUUGAACGACAAUGUUUUCCAGAGAUUUGUAGCAGUUACCAGUUCUCCUAUUUCCUUCGGUCACAGAGACUGAGACAGGGUUCAGUAGGACAGCUUGUGAUGAAAUCUUUAGUUCUCUGAAUGCAUCUGCUAAAGCAAUAAGGUAAUGCCGUUGGCAGACAGUAACAGUAUAUUUCCUGUUGGUCUGCAUUUGAACCAUCUGUUAGUUUCUCUCUUCCUCUUUAUGCAACAGAACAUGUGCCUCAGCACUGAGUUUAACACACGCAUGCACUAACACCCUGAAGGGUGAUUCUCAUUCAAUAAUUGAGGUAUUGAAUGUUACUGUUUAACUAGAUACUUUAUUAUUAAAAGUACUUCACUUUCAAUUACUAUAUAUAUAUAGAGAGAGAGAGAGAACAAACAGCAUCACAUCCAGAAUAUAUAACCAACUUUUAUCAAUCACUAGAAAUACUUAGAGAUAUUGAUAAACAGAAAACAACAUUAUCAAUAUACAUAGGCAUUAUAGAGUACAGCCUACCUGAAAAGGAUGUGUCAUGCUCAUGUAUACAGAAUUAUAAUGUUGUCAAUUCUUUCAUAUUUUUAUAUAUUCUACUGUGUGUGCGAGAGGCACGUCCAUUUGAACACGCAUAAUCCAAUUAUAAUGGUUCCAAUUUUAAAAAACAGAUCAGUGUUAACAAUCUUAUACAUACUCCGAUAUUAUAGUACGCUCCCUUAUAUGGCCGCAGGGUAAAGCAAAACUGAAUUUAAAAGACUAUAGAAGUAGCUUAUGCUAUUCGGAAGUUAUAUAAAAAUGUUAUCCAACAGCAUUCAUGUAUAAAUUCUUAUUUCUACCAGAAGGUGGCACUGUUGGUCCACAAUUGCAACAGCUGCUGUAACUAAUUUGCAACUUGUGUGGUUCCAUGUGUUUGUUGUGUGGUGAAGGGAAUUGCGCUUCCCCUGUAUUCACAGUCUGAUUGGCUAACAUGCUGUAAUCGUGCAUUUCAAUAUCUGGCUGGCAGCUUGUGUGUCUGUUUGACUCUCUCUUCCCACAUUAUCUGCUGUGAAGGAGGACAGUAAAAGCAAUGAGGAAGAUAGAGGGAGUGCGCUGCUGUUGUCUUGCAGUCUGGCUGAGCUGGGCUCUGUCUGUGACAGUGCUGAAGGCUGCAGCCCGAAGCCUGUCUCUCAGCCCGGGACAGACAGCCGUCCUGGACUGCAGCAUUGAGAGGGACAGCGGUGAGCUUGUGAGCUGGUACAAGCAGAGCCCUGGGGAUGCGCCUCAGUUUGUUCUCAGUCAUUACCACACCAACAGCUCAGCCGCUAACUACGGCUCCGGAUUCUCCUCCGAGCGCUUCACUGCCGGGGCGAAGGACCCGCUCACCUACCAGCUAGUGAUUCGCAGUGUAGAGUGGAGUGAUGUAGCCGUGUAUUACUGUGGAGCAUGGACUUCAGCACACGGAUAAGGGUGCACUACAGGAAGAAACACACAGACUCAUACCUCUGUUUAAACUGUUAUUCACUAGAGUGGACUACAGUAGUGUGCAGAUGGAGAAGAACACCUCACGAUUAUGAAAUUAAUUUUUGCAUGUUAUUUUUCAUGUUAUGCAUGUUAUGUAAUAAUUUGUUGUUUUAUCAUAAAGCUGAAUCUCUGCUUUAAUUUCUAUCUUUCAAUAGAAC
Molecule: non-coding RNA, 1957 nt
Organism: Acipenser ruthenus (sterlet)
Lineage: Eukaryota; Metazoa; Chordata; Actinopteri; Acipenseriformes; Acipenseridae
Source: the annotation of a RefSeq genome assembly